This 382-nucleotide ribosomal RNA is filed under the name uncultured eukaryote. Its description in RNAcentral is "partial 18S ribosomal RNA". It matches the Rfam family "Eukaryotic small subunit ribosomal RNA", at positions 592 to 976 of the family's 1831-position model. The record is from RNAcentral.
UGUAAGCGUAUACCAAAGUUGUUGCAGUUAAAACGCUCGUAGUCGGACUUUGGCAGUUCCGGAUGUGUGCACGUCGUGUGCGCACUUCGCGGGGAUUGCUUUUGUGGUCUUGCGUAGGAUGAGGCACUUUUAUUAGUGAACGUCCUCACGCAACCACUUUUUACUGUGAGAAAAUCAGAGUGCCCAAAGCAGGCAUUUGCCGUGAAUGUAUUAGCAUGGAAUAAUAGAAUAGGACUUGGUUCUAUUUUGUUGGUUUGUUGGGACUGAGUAAUGAUUAAGAGGGACAGUUGGGGGCAUUUGUAUUUCGGUGCUAGAGGUGAAAUUCUUAGAUUACCGAAAGACAAACUGCUGCGAAAGCGUCUGCCAAGGAUGUUUUCAUUGA